This 468-nucleotide ribosomal RNA is filed under the name uncultured bacterium. Its description in RNAcentral is "partial 16S ribosomal RNA". It matches the Rfam family "Bacterial small subunit ribosomal RNA", at positions 28 to 507 of the family's 1533-position model. The record is from RNAcentral.
GACGAACGCUGGCGGCGUGCUUAACACAUGCAAGUCGAACGGAAAGGCCCUGCUUUUGUGGGGUGCUCGAGUGGCGAACGGGUGAGUAACACGUGAGUAACCUGCCCUUGACUUUGGGAUAACUUCAGGAAACUGGGGCUAAUACCGGAUAGGAGCUCCUGCUGCAUGGUGGGGGUUGGAAAGUUUCGGCGGUUGGGGAUGGACUCGCGGCUUAUCAGCUUGUUGGUGGGGUAGUGGCGUACCAAGGCUUUGAAGGGUAGCCGGCCUGAGAGGGUGACCGGCCACAUUGGGACUGAGAUACGGCCCAGACUCCUACGGGAGGCAGCAGUGGGGAAUAUUGCACAAUGGGCGGAAGCCUGAUGCAGCAACGCCGCGUGCGGGAUGACGGCCUUCGGGUUGUAAACCGCUUUCGCCUGUGACGAAGCGUGAGUGACGGUAAUGGGUAAAGAAGCACCGGCUAACUACGUG